Long non-coding RNA from Quercus lobata, 742 nucleotides. RefSeq lists it as uncharacterized. Lineage: Eukaryota; Viridiplantae; Streptophyta; Magnoliopsida; Fagales; Fagaceae. The transcript is spliced from 3 exons. The record is from RefSeq and is a predicted model, not a curated record.
UAUAAAUACUAAAAGUUGAAAAGGUAAGUUAUCAUUUCUUUCCUAGCAAUACACGUGAAUCACCCAAGAUAUUUUGCUGGACUUCUUGGCUGCACCAGAAAUUCCCUUGGUCAUUCUUGCUUUACUUCUUUGUUUUCUUCCUUCUUUGUUCUUAUUGGUUGCACCUUUAUCCCUUCUUUGACUUUCUCAAAGAAAGAAGACUCAAGAAGCUCCCCCUCUCUUUUCCCACGGGUCCAAUUAAAUCAGAAAAUUCUCACUUCACUUUUCUCUCUUUUAUCUUAAGGAAAGUGCUUGGAAGCUCUCUUGAGUCUUCCCUCAAGUCCACGGGUUCACACACCAAAAGAAAACUCAAUUCUUCUUCAUAUUCUCUCUAAGGAACCAGAAAACUCUCUCAAGCUCUCUACCAUUCUUUCAUGAGUGGUUCUAUGUCUAUUUUUCCCCUCAAGAAACAUAAACUUGGUGUGACCAGUAUCCAAGUCUAAGCUCCUUUGACUUUAGGCUCUCGGUUCCUCUGCUCUCAGGUAAGGGAUAAGUUAUAUGAGCAUUUGUUAGCAGGUUUUAUUUUGGAGCAGAGGGAGCCUUAGUUGAGUUUUGGAAGGAGCUGGUUUAGUUUUAUAUGUAUAAAUCCUAGAUUAGCAAUUUUAUGUUUAGCUUUGUAGUAUCGUGUAUUUUAGGAUCUAAAGAAAGUUGUGUAUCUUAAAGUAUUAAGAGAUGUAUUAUGUGAAAGUGUGGAACUUAAAUG